Molecule: ribosomal RNA, 274 nt
Filed under: uncultured bacterium
Lineage: Bacteria
Description: partial 16S ribosomal RNA
Rfam family: Bacterial small subunit ribosomal RNA
Source: RNAcentral
AUACGGAGGGUGCAAGCGUUACUCGGAAUCACUGGGCGUAAAGCGCGCGCAGGCGGCUAUUUAAGUUGGAUGUGAAAGCCUACGGCUCAACCGUAGAACUGCAUCCAAAACUAUUUAGCUAGAGUGUGAGAGAGGAAGAUGGAAUUAGUUGUGUAGGGGUAAAAUCCGUAGAGAUAACUAGGAAUACCAAAAGCGAAGGCAAUCUUCUGGAACACUACUGACGCUGAGGCGCGAAAGCGUGGGGAGCAAACAGUAUUAGAAACCCUAGUAGUCC